This 292-nucleotide ribosomal RNA is filed under the name uncultured bacterium. RNAcentral's name for it is "partial 16S ribosomal RNA". It matches the Rfam family "Bacterial small subunit ribosomal RNA", at positions 505 to 796 of the family's 1533-position model. The record is from RNAcentral.
GUGCCAGCAGCCGCGGUAAUACGAAGGGGGCUAGCGUUGUUCGGAAUUACUGGGCGUAAAGCGCACGUAGGCGGCUUGCCAAGUUGGGGGUGAAAUCCCGAGGCUCAACCUCGGAAUUGCCUUCAAAACUGGCAGGCUUGAGUUCGGAAGAGGUGAGUGGAAUUCCCAGUGUAGAGGUGAAAUUCGUAGAGAUUGGGAAGAACACCAGUGGCGAAGGCGGCUCACUGGUCCGCAACUGACGCUGAGGUGCGAAAGCGUGGGGAGCAAACAGGAUUAGAUACCCCGGUAGUCC